Octodon degus (degu) is the source of this 2729-nucleotide long non-coding RNA. RefSeq lists it as uncharacterized. Lineage: Eukaryota; Metazoa; Chordata; Mammalia; Rodentia; Octodontidae. The transcript has 4 exons. The record is from RefSeq and is a predicted model, not a curated record.
CCUCAGACCUGCUGAGCGCAACUGGCCUGGCCUCGGCUGCAGAUGCCCCCUUUGCAUCACGUGCUUCUGUCUCCUCUCACGGGACACACCGUGAUAGCAGUCCAUCACCCUCCUGCUUCUGCAUGCAGUCACGGGACCUGGGCUGCAGCCUUGGCUUCUCGGGUGAGACGCACUUGCCCCCCCGCCCCCUGCAUGAGUGCAAGGCUGGCUCCUGACGGCCUCCAGAGCAGCUCUCUCCUCCAGCCGGCACCAGUGGAGGAGCCCAAGAUUCUGCUAUUCAAACAGAGCCUCAGAAGUAGCACCGAGUUUCCAAACAGCAGAGCACUUGUGUAAAAAGAGGCAAGAAGAGCAAGGCAAAAGGAGGUAAAUGGAGAUUUCAUGUACAGGAUUUGCGAGCACAGCAGUUUGUACCUGCAGUCUUCCAGACGGUCUCUCCACUGUCCCUGUGUCCUGAACUCCCCUCUACUUCUCGCCUUUGGUGCUGCCACCACCCUGGGUCUGUUCUGGCGAAGAUGCCAUUGCAGCUGUGUGCUCACCCCGGUGCCUGUGGGGCCUGGCAUUCCACUCCUGCCUGCCUGCCUUUGGGUCUGGCUCUCUACAUUCCCAGAGCUGUGACUGCAUGUCAUUCUCACACAGGCCCUGCUGAGGCAAAGGCCGCCAUCUACUGGGAUGCCCCGCAUCCUUGCCCCGGCUUAGUCCUCAGCUGCAGCUCAGUCUUCUGAGCUCUGGAUCCUUGUGUGUAGAGGCUCCUUAGUAAUCACAGAGAAAUUCAUUCUGGCACGUCUGAACCCACACUUCCCCUGUGCACAUUCCCUCCUCAUUGCCCCAUGUGUGUGUCCCCACCCCUGCACUCUAUUCUUGUAUUGCCAUUCAUGAACAGCUUUUCAGUUCACUCUUCAUCUGGACCAACUCAGUCCGUCACUGGGUCUUGCUUUCGUUCCCAUCUGUCUCUCUUCAGUCAGCUGCAGGCAGUUUAAGUCUUCCUAAAACUGAAGUCUGAUCAUAGUAUGGCCCUCUGAACAUGCUGGGGGCGAGUUAGAUUCUUACGGGGGUUCCUGGCCUUCUGUGGCAUACUGGGAGGUACACAGGUUUUAGUCUUUACCAGCCACAGCAGGCUGGUAACUGCGCCUGCGUGUUUCUGCAUCUCCCUCUGUGGGGCUGCAGGGUGAGCUGUAGAUAGUGGAGUGUCUGACACAAGGCUGGUGCUCGAGAAGUGGCCGCUCUCUGAUACGUCUUAUUCUCUGGCCCCACACGUGCCCUCCAUGUUGGAGCAACAGGCUGGCCUGUGGAUGUGGAUGUGGUCAGCCUUGAUCUUGCGGCAGCUGGUACUGCUGUAGGCCCUCCCUGUCUGUCUCCUUAACUCUGCUCAUCAUCCAGUGCUACUCCCUGUGUGUCCAGGUCCUGCAGCCACCACUGGAGCUAAGUCUGCCCUGGCCCCUGCUCCCACUGUGCCUCCAUAACUCCUCUGAGUGCCUCUACACCAGUGGCCAGCAAGAGCAGCACCAUGCUCCUUCUGCGCACUGCCAGCCAGCCUUCGGCACGAGUUGUCUAGAUCACAAGAUACGUACAGCUCUGGGGGCAAAAGUAUGUGCUCGAGCUAGAAUCAUUUUGUGAAGAAAGCCUGCUUGCUCUUAGAGCAGUGCACGCAGCACGGGGCCACACAGCUCCUUCAGAAUGUGAAGUAGCGGGCAAACCACUCCUGGCGCUGGGGAUCUGGAGAAGCUGCGGGGGAAGCUUCACCCUGAGGAGGACUGAAUUCAUAGAGAGAGAUGGUGACCCCGCAUGGAGUGGUUUUGCAAAACAAAGGACAAAGCACAUCAGACAUCAGUGCAGACCACGACAGCGGCUUCCAUGCAGGCUGUGCUGCAGACCGCUGCUCCUGUGCUCAGAAGAGCAAGGGGCCUAGCACUGCCCCAAGGUCAGCGAGGAGCAGCCCGGGCUCAGCAGGACCACCACUCACAGCACGGACUGCCAGACACGAGCAAACCACACCACACCUCCUGGCGCAGCAGCUCUGAAGGAAUCGUGGGAAAUGAGGAGGACGGUCCCUCUCAGCACUUGCCCCCAUGUAGUUAAAAUUGUAGGGUCUGAUACAAGCACUUGCUUCUUACAAAUAUAUCACUAAAUGUAACUAAGUCAAGUUUAGUGUUCUUUACUCUGUGCAUAUGCAUAUUAAGUGUUCAUAAUUCCAUAAGCAGACACUAAGAAAGGGAGUGCACUCAAGUUCCACUUUCCCUUCUAACUUCAGAGUUACACAAUUUAUACUUAAUUCUAACUACAGAGCGUUUGGGCUACUGGAGAAAACAAAAGAAUCCCUACCGUCUCUGGGGCAAUUACAAGGCACCAACAAUGAAAUGGAAACUCCGGUCCUGCUCCUUGGGCUCAUGCACAUGCACCUUACUGAAACCUGAACGCAACCAUGCGCAGGGAAACAAGCAACACAGAAGAUGCGCUCCUCUGUGUCCCCCUGGGACCCACAGUCUCUGACGGGAUCCUACCCAAGCCUGUCUGGCUUCAGAAGUGUGUGUGAGCACCACGGCCUCCAGGAGGUCUGAAGCAGCUGGGAAGACCUCGGGACAUGUCCUGUCUGCAUGUUCAUAUCCUAGUCACUACAGGACAUAAUUACAUGUACUUAAGCUUUUUAUUUUAAGAAAUCAAAAGUAUAAUUGGUAAGCCUCUAUAGUAAUGGCUGAAAAAAUUCCAAUAAAAAAAUAAAAAUUAUUUCUAGC